RNAcentral lists this ribosomal RNA (677 nucleotides) under Streptomyces mexicanus. RNAcentral describes it as "bacterial SSU rRNA". It matches the Rfam family "Bacterial small subunit ribosomal RNA", at positions 199 to 889 of the family's 1533-position model. The record is from RNAcentral. Lineage: Bacteria; Bacillati; Actinomycetota; Actinomycetes; Kitasatosporales; Streptomycetaceae.
GUGGAAAGCUCCGGCGGUGCAGGAUGAGCCCGCGGCCUAUCAGCUUGUUGGUGAGGUAACGGCUCACCAAGGCGACGACGGGUAGCCGGCCUGAGAGGGCGACCGGCCACACUGGGACUGAGACACGGCCCAGACUCCUACGGGAGGCAGCAGUGGGGAAUAUUGCACAAUGGGCGCAAGCCUGAUGCAGCGACGCCGCGUGAGGGAUGACGGCCUUCGGGUUGUAAACCUCUUUCAGCAGGGAAGAAGCGAGAGUGACGGUACCUGCAGAAGAAGCGCCGGCUAACUACGUGCCAGCAGCCGCGGUAAUACGUAGGGCGCAAGCGUUGUCCGGAAUUAUUGGGCGUAAAGAGCUCGUAGGCGGCUUGUCGCGUCGGUUGUGAAAGCCCGGGGCUUAACCCCGGGUCUGCAGUCGAUACGGGCAGGCUAGAGUUCGGUAGGGGAGAUCGGAAUUCCUGGUGUAGCGGUGAAAUGCGCAGAUAUCAGGAGGAACACCGGUGGCGAAGGCGGAUCUCUGGGCCGAUACUGACGCUGAGGAGCGAAAGCGUGGGGAGCGAACAGGAUUAGAUACCCUGGUAGUCCACGCCGUAAACGGUGGGCACUAGGUGUGGGCAACAUUCCACGUUGUCCGUGCCGCAGCUAACGCAUUAAGUGCCCCGCCUGGGGAGUACGGCCGC